RNAcentral lists this ribosomal RNA (490 nucleotides) under uncultured bacterium. RNAcentral describes it as "partial 16S ribosomal RNA". It matches the Rfam family "Bacterial small subunit ribosomal RNA", at positions 30 to 507 of the family's 1533-position model. The record is from RNAcentral.
AUUGAACGCUGGCGGCAGGCCUAACACAUGCAAGUCGAACGGUAACAGGGAGCAGCUUGCUGCUUUGCUGACGAGUGGCGGACGGGUGAGUAAUGUCUGGGAAACUGCCUGAUGGAGGGGGAUAACUACUGGAAACGGUAGCUAAUACCGCAUAACGUCGCAAGACCAAAGAGGGGGACCUUCGGGCCUCUUGCCAUCGGAUGUGCCCAGAUGGGAUUAGCUAGUAGGUGGGGUAACGGCUCACCUAGGCGACGAUCCCUAGCUGGUCUGAGAGGAUGACCAGCCACACUGGAACUGAGACACGGUCCAGACUCCUACGGGAGGCAGCAGUGGGGAAUAUUGCACAAUGGGCGCAAGCCUGAUGCAGCCAUGCCGCGUGUAUGAAGAAGGCCUUCGGGUUGUAAAGUACUUUCAGCGGGGAGGAAGGGAGUAAAGUUAAUACCUUUGCUCAUUGACGUUACCCGCAGAAGAAGCACCGGCUAACUCCGUG